This 492-nucleotide ribosomal RNA is filed under the name uncultured bacterium. Its description in RNAcentral is "partial 16S ribosomal RNA". It matches the Rfam family "Bacterial small subunit ribosomal RNA", at positions 28 to 523 of the family's 1533-position model. The record is from RNAcentral.
GACGAACGCUGGCUGCGUGCUUAACACAUGCAAGUCGAACGCUGAAACCCUGGUGCUUGCACCGGGGUGGAUGAGUGGCGAACGGGUGAGUAACACGUGAGUAACCUGCCCCCGACUUCGGGAUAAGCCCGGGAAACUGGGUCUAAUACCGGAUAUGAGCGCCCCUCGCAUGAGGGAUGCUGGAAAGUCUUUUAGGUUGGGGAUGGGCUAGCGGCCUAUCAGUUUGUUGGUGAGGUAAUGGCUCACCAAGACGACGGCGGGUAGCCGGCCUGAGAGGGCGACCGGCCACACUGGGACUGAGACACGGCCCAGACGCCUACGGGAGGCAGCAGUGGGGAAUAUUGCACAAUGGGGGAAACCCUGAUGCAGCGACGCAGCGUGCGGGAUGACGGCCUUCGGGUUGUAAACCGCUUUCAGCAGGGAAGAAGCCCCUUGGGGUGACGGUACCUGCAGAAGAAGUACCGGCUAACUACGUGCCAGCCGCCGCGGUAA